GAGGAUGGCAGGAGGAGUGCUUGCAUGUUGAGCAGUCCUGAGAGUAGCUUGACACCACCUCUCUCAACCAACCUGCAUCUAGAAAGUGAGUUGGAUGCAUUGGCAAGCCUGGAAAACCAUGUGAAAACUGAACCUGCAGAUAUGAAUGAAAGCUGCAAACAGUCAGGGCUCAGCAGCCUUGUUAAUGGAAAGUCCCCAAUUCGAAGCCUCAUGCACAGGUCGGCAAGGAUUGGAGGAGAUGGCAACAAUAAAGAUGAUGACCCAAAUGAAGACUGGUGUGCUGUCUGCCAAAACGGAGGAGAUCUCUUGUGCUGCGAAAAAUGUCCAAAGGUCUUUCAUCUAACUUGUCAUGUUCCAACACUACUUAGCUUUCCAAGGUACCAGUGAAAUAAUUGAUUUUUGGUGUUGAUUUUCAUAAGCUAAAAAUAAAUAACAGAAGAUUGUUCAGGGCAGAUGGCCCUCUAACCAGUGCAUAGUAUUUCUAUAAAACAGGGAGCCUGUUAUUCUUUUGGUAUUAGCUUCCAGAGAAACUAACAAUAAAAUAUCUAAGAUCUAAGUAGUACAUGAAUGUUAAAGAGUAGAUUUCAUCUCCUGGCCUUUAGUUUAUAUUCAGUAUAAGGAAAAUAGAUAAAACUCUAAAUUAAUAGGGGGCUAAGGUUACAAAACCUGCAGUCUGGUUCUAAUUCUGUAGUAAGCUUGAGCAAUUCACUAAUUAUCAGGGAUCAGUUUUUGCAUCUACAAGUGGUAGGUUUUGGUUUAGCAGAGCUGUAGUUCUUCCCUUCCAUUUAUUAUUUUAUGUUCACGCAACCUCUUGUCUCUUGAUUUCAGAGACCAUAAAACAGUAGAGUCAUACUUGUUUUUUUCAGUCUUCUCCUUCCUCUCUUGUCCCCCAAUUUCUUUUUGGUGAAAGUAAAUCAGUAUUCUUGGGGUAAACCCAGCUUUUUUCUUGCUAUAAAUUGAAAAAAAAAAAAAAAGAUAUAUCUUCUCAAAUUCCUGAGAAGCAGUAACUUUAAUUGAAUAAUAGUGCCCUCUUUGAAAGCGUUAACCUUUUGGAUUAGAAAACUAAUAGAUAUUUAAACAGUGCCAGAAUAUUUUUCUGAAGAAUUGUAAUUUCUUACCUAAGUCUUUGGAGAUAGAGUUAUUUGCUAGAGAUGUAAUAAGGGCCUUCUUUUUCUUUACUCUUAUUUAGAAAAGAAAAGCAUUGGCACUUUGAUCUUGAAAUUAAGAAUUUUCUUUUCUUUGGGUAGUAAUAUUUACUGGAAUGUCAGAAUUUUGCCACUGAAUGCCUUCUUUCAAUAGCAAAUGCUUUGAAAGGAUUGUAAAAUGUUGGCGUAAAUUAGCCAGGCGUGGUAGCUCACACCUGUAAUCCCAGCACUUUGGGAGGCUGAGGCAGGCGGAGCACUUGAGGUCAGGAGUUUGAGACCAGCCUGGCCAACAUGGCAAAACCCCAUCUCUACU
Molecule: small RNA, 1458 nt
Filed under: Pan troglodytes (chimpanzee)
Lineage: Eukaryota; Metazoa; Chordata; Mammalia; Primates; Hominidae
Description: processed transcript
Source: RNAcentral